RNA transcript from Chelonia mydas (Green sea turtle), 6541 nucleotides. It is a transcript of the gene named MARVEL domain containing 3, with no coding region annotated. NCBI's taxonomy places the organism in Eukaryota, Metazoa, Chordata, Testudines, Cheloniidae. The transcript is spliced from 4 exons. The record is from RefSeq and is a predicted model, not a curated record.
CGCCGCCCGGCCCGAGAUGGCGGAGCGCGACCGCAGGAGCCGCCGGCCGCCGGGCAGGGCGCGCGCGGCGAGCGGCCCCCCCAGGGGCCCCCGGCCCGGCCGUGAGGAGCACCCACCUGUGUUGCCGUCCCCGAUACGUGGAACCAGCUGCGAGAGGCCGGAGUGCUACCAGGCAGAGCCAUCAGGCCUGCUGGAGUGUUACCAGUGCCGCUACCUCUGCACGGCCAGAGCUUGCUGCCAGCUGGUGGAAGUUCUGCUGACCAUGCUGAUCCUGAUCUGCAGCUCUGUGUCCUACAGCUCGACAGGCGGUUACACUGGCAUUCCCAACUUGGGGGGCAUUUACUACUACCAGUACGGAGGGGCUUAUAGUGGCUUUGAUGGGGCAGAGGGGGAAAAAGCCCAGCAACUUGACACCCAGUUCUACCAAUUAAAGCUGCCGACAGCAAGAGCAGCAAUGGCUGUGGGAGGGGCCCUGAUGGCCUUCUCUUGCCUUCUUGUUUUGGUUGGUGUACUGCGGCUGCCAUGGCAUUUCCCAGCCUGGCUGCUGCUCGAAUGCACCCUGGACAUAUUGAUUGCACUUGGCUUCCUGCCUGCUCUGUACUUCUACUUCCACCUUCUGUUGGAUGCCUACGAUUCUCCAGUGUGCAAAGAGAGAGAGAAUCUCUACCAAAGCAAAGGCUACCAAGGAUUCAGCUGCAGUGUGCAUGGGGCAGAGAUAGCAGCUGGGCUCUUUAGCUGCAUUGCCAUUGUGGUGUUCUUGGUCAGUGCUGGCCUUGCUGUCAGGGGAUACAAAACAGUUCAUCAGCUGAGAGAGAAGCCACUGGAAAUGUAUGAGUUUUAGGGUGGCUUGUUCAUAGCCAAGCUGUCCUACCAGCUCAUCUCUCUCUGUGGCUGCCAGCCUGGACACCAAGAAGGGGCAGCACCCUCUUCCCUGUCUCAGGACGUUGCAUCUGCACUGCUACAAUCAGAAUACAGGACCAUGGCCACAACAAGCACCCCUACCAUGAGAGAACAGCUCCAGCUAGAGCCAAGCUGCUCUUAACCAGCCCUCACAUUUAAAUCUUGUGAAUGUGAGUGGAACAGAUGCAUUCUUAGUUUCAUAAUCCACAUCUGCUCCUUGGCUCUGCCUUUGUUAGCAGUGACUAGCUUACUGCUUGUGCUGAGGUCAGUAUCUUGGGAGUAGAGGGGCCCCUCCAUCUCCUGAUCUGCUCAAGCAAGAUGUCCCAGCUCUCUCAUUGGCCAUAGUCCCGUUCCUCCCAUACAAGGUAGAACUACCAGCGCUUGGCAAGAUACCUUGUUCAUUAGCUAAGACUGCGCUUUUCACUUGACCUUAAGCACAAGUGGACUUCAUCUCUCCUCCCAUCACUGCAUGUUUGAACAACUUUGAUUCCCAGCUGCUUGCUACAGCAGUGCAGGGAGCAGGAGAGAAUGACAUAGGAAGAGAGCCCAGGUUCGGCCACUAAGCCCUGCCACUAGCUCUCCUCUGAGCCUGUGCUUCCUCACAUUUCGGAGUGUCACCUUUAAACCAUGGUUCUGAUUUUUUUUAAAUGUAAUUGAUCGUAUAAGAAAAUGAUUCUACAAACCCGAUCAUUAGCGGAAGGAUACCUCUGGAGAGCUGCACAACAAAGUACUUUUGAGGCAAAGCUACAGAACUCCUCUUCACAUGAAGAAAUUCCACCUUGAAGAUGCUUUACAAGUACUUUAUAAGGAGGAGGCCCUAUUGGGUGGGAGUAGCCCACUCAGCCAGAUGACUGAGUCCAUGUCUACGCUACCACUUAUGUCAGCAAAACUUAUGUUGCUCAAGGGUGUGAAAAAAACCCAACAGCCCCCUGAGCAAUAUAAGUUCUGCCGGCAUAAGUGCUAGUGUACACAGCGUUAUGUCGGCAUAGGGUGUCUACACGAGAGAUCUUACAGCGGUGCAACUGCAUUGGUACAGCUGUGCCGCUGUAAGGUCACUAGUGUAAACAUGGCUUGAGACCGUCCUGGAUAAAGCUGGUCACAACUGCGCUCACAUCAUGGCAUGAUUGUGGCACUAUGCAAGUUCUCUCCAGUGCAUUAACAUAAACAGAAUAUACACCUAGAUGAAAGUAAAAAUCUUUAUUGCUAUGUCCGCUGAAAAGUUGAUCAAAAAUAUUCUUCCUUUCUGAACUGUUCUGUAUAUCUUAGUAAAGAAUCAAUGGAAUCACAUUUUUACCCCAAGGCUCUUCCUCCUUUUGCUGUCACAUACAGUGGGUGCAGUGCUGAAGGUGCAUUCAGUAUAACAAUCUACUUCCACACACAAUGAAAGAGGGGCAUUGUUAUAGCUGCAUGCUAGAGUCAGGUACAUAAAAUAGUAUAUACUUCAUUUUAAAACAAAGGCAUGGAAAAUCGUUUUGCUGCAAUUUCUCUUUAACAUGCUCUAGCUCAUGUGACAAGUUAAAAAAGUUAACACAUUUCAAAAAUAUCAAAAAUACACAAGUUUGAAGAUUGCAAUAGAACAGCGGACAAUGAUUGCACAAAAACUAUGACGUGAACCCACUGCCUUAAGGCCUUUUGGCACAAAACCUACAUCCUUCAGGAGAGGUGGAGAAACUCCUGGGUUACGAGGACCGUGGCUGUAUGUUCUGUAAACUAGAGAAAGGGUGGUAGAUCUUAAGAGCAACCUAUCCCCACGACAGAGAGAGUAUCCUGAAGUGCUUGUCACUUUCUGGAAUGAAAUUAACCCUCACCCCACAGUUUAGGAGUCAGCAGUUUCCAUCAGGCAGCCUCAGCCUCACCUGCUCUAGGCAGCUGGGAGCAAUUCGGAGGCUGCUAACUGGCCAAGAUUUCUUAUCCUCAAUACUUUUUGCCUUGGAAUUAGUUUGCUCUUAUAUCAGAUAUUUUGUUCAUUAGUUCCUUCUACUGGGACCUUAUUGAACAAGUAAAGCAAAUAAGUUAGUGCCUUAGGAGUAUCUGCUGCUGUUGAAAGUGCACACCAAGAGGGAGAGAAAUACUUGAGACUUGACAGAUGGAAUAAUACUAACCGGCAAACUGCAGCCCCUCACUGGGAAAACGACAGCUCCAACUUCUCUUCCAUGGACAGUCUCUUUAUUACACAGAUGCUCUAGGACAGUGGUUCUCAACCUUUUCCAUAUUUUUAUUACUAGAGGAAGGGGAGAGUGGCCACAACCCCCAGGUCAAGAUUCCACUGCUGUACUCCUGCAGAGAUGACAGCAACUGCAACGGUCUGAGAUCAUCAUCAGGGAAAAGAAGAGGCUAUGGAGAACUUUGGUCAGAUAGAAAUUGAAAUAAGCAUGGGAAACUCCUCUUUCUUUGUACUUCACCUCACCCUCAGCUGAGAACCCAUCACUAGGGCUGCCCCCACCAGCCCAGCCUGUCCCCACACGGGUGACAGGGUUCCUAGGAGCUUGAAAAUAUAAGAAAACAAGAAGUAAGUUGGGAAAGACAAGGAAGAAGCUUGCUGCCCCAUGGAAAGCAGGAAAUCAAGAGGCCAGGAAGAGGGGGAAGCUCAGACUGUGCAGCCUGGAGUGAAACACUCUUCUCAUAAGACGUGCAUUAGAGCAAUGUAUCAGAGCAAGAGGAAGCCCUCUGUUCUGAUUGGCGUCUAUGAUAACAUGCCAUGUUGUGCAAGGACGCCACCACUAACCAAUGAAUGUACAGGAUUUGGAGGGAGGGAGCUGGUCACAUUAGAACCUCUUUCUGCUCCAAAUACAUAGGAUUAGAGAAAAUCCUAAGUGAUGAUCACUGUACACAAUUAGCCUUUACUUCAGCAGCUCCACCCCACAGCUUCCAGGGGGCUGCAGGGAAUGGAGGCUCUGUAUCUAUACACUCCAUCUGAACUUUCUGUUUUGCUUUCUCCUGCACUUUUUCCACUGAGCCAUACAGAGCUGAUAAAAUCAGUCCUCUCAAUGACAGCUGCAACACUCCCUCGCAGCCCAGGUUAGUUGGAGCCCAGAUAUCAUGUUCAGAAUCUAAUUACUAGUCGGAGACACAUGCUGGAUUUUCCACAUCAGUGCAAGGAUUCCAAUACAGAACCUUAUUUGUAAUAACACAUACUAGUGUACUAGUGCAAGGAUUUGAUUCACAUUCUUACUCAGGAAGAGGGGCACAUUUUCAUGUCAGUACAUUAGUCGAAGACUGUACAAGAGGCUGCACUGCAGCUCUUCUGUAGUGCUUCUGAGACUAUUGGGCUAGCUCAGAAGUUUGUUAAAAUUAUCAGCAGUGAAAGAAUUAAAGGGGACCUGCAAUUUUUGCUUCUUUUAAGGAAGAGAACCUGAAAGGUUUUUUGUUUUGUUUUUUAAAUAAUUUUUUUGGUCUUCCUAUUUUCACUGUAGACUCCUUGGAUAACUCAGAGACAGUGUGGGAGCGCUCUUGUCCCUUAAUUCUCUCUAGGUUGAUAGAACUAGCAGAGGUUUCAAAUCUUUAAAAGGUUUUAUCCCAACUUCUAAGUUAAAAUAGGUGUUAACAAAACUCAAAGGGUGAGACCACCCUAUGGGAAAGAGGCGAUUUUCUAUGACAUUAGCUAACGCGGUACUUAAACAUGAUGAAAUCCUAGGGCUUGUACACCCUAGUACUUAUGUCAGUAUAACUUAUGUCGCUCAGGGGUGUGAAAAAGUCACCCCGCUGAGCGAUGUAAGUUGCACCGAUCUAAGCGCCGGUGCGGACAGUGCUGUGUCGGCGGAUUUAUUAUGCCGACAGCAGCAGAGCUCUCUUCCAUAGGCAUUGCGUGUCUGUAGUAGCAGGACGGCAGCUGCACCACUGUACCGAUUCUAGUGCGGAACAGCCCCUCAUGCGGAUCAGGCAGUUCUUUCCACGCACGUUAGUAGGGCUAGGGUGUUGGCUACCAUGUGGUAAAAAGAUACAUUUUUCCCCUAGUGAAGACAAAGCCAAGGAGUUUUACGUUCUGAAUAAUAGCUACUUCCUGCUAUCAAGUUUUCUCACAGGAUCUAUGAUGUCAGAAUCCCACUAGUUCUCUAAUCGUACAUUGAGUAUUCCAGGUCAGACAAGACCUGACUUUCCGAUAUAAAAGAGAAGCAAAAAACAAACACACCAAACAAAAUAAUACUCAGCCCAAAAGCCCAGAACUCUUUUGGAAAAACCUUUCAGAUUUUCUUCCUAGACAUAAUAAAUAAGUAAAAUAACACUAGCACUAGUCCCAUAUAAUGUCAUAAUGAGGCUAUCAGUGUUGUCACACCACUGAGGGUAUGUCCACACUGCAAUUAAACACUUGGGGCUGGCCUGUAUAGAGCUGACUCAGGCUUAUAGGGCUUGGGGCUCUUUAAUUGCAGUGUACAUGUUUGCGCUCGGGCAGGAUCCCAGGCUCUGGGAGCCUCCCUCCUUGUGGGGUCCCCAAGCCUGAAUGUCUACACUGCAAAUAAAUAGCUCUGGAGCCCAAACCAGCUGACGCAGGCCAGCCACAGAUGUUUAAUUGUAGUGUAGACAUACCCUGAGAUUACUGAGGCAGCUCCCACCUCAGAGCUAUUGUUCCCAACUCCUGGGCUGCAGACUCAGGAAGAUGAUCUGCCUGGAUCACAGAUGGAAGGUUGUCUUUGCAACCCUUUUGUAAAGACGAAUGCUUAAAUCCUGGAAAAACAGCCAGAAAAGUGCUAGCAGGGCACCACGCUGCAUACUGGCCCAUCCAGGCCCUGAAGGUGGAAACUGGAACACAUUUGCUGACUGGGUGCUUGGCAACUCACUGCUACUCUCCAGAGUUGUUCUAAAAUCCUUUUUUCCUCAAGUGUGCUGAUAAAAAUGUUUGUAUUUGGGAAAAGUUCCAUUUUCCAUCUUGAGUUUAGAACUAAGCAGAAGCCACACAGCUUCAUCUUGUUCACUUCCUGGUCUGAGCACUUGCAGCUGGAGCAUGGGCAGUCCUGGACACUGAUUCCGCUUUCUGCUUCUGCAGAGACAGGCAAGAGCGCUUUUGCUGCUACAGUGUACGAGGUUCAUAUUUCGCCAUGUGUAUUAGAGGGAGUGCAUGUGAAAUGAACCAUCAGAGACCUUCUUGGCACAUGCAGAGCACUCUAGGCUGCUCAUUAGCCUUUACUGCUACAAACAAAACACCCCGAUGGACAAGAUGAAGUCCCCCCACUCACACUUCUUAGCUUCUGCCAGCUGAGGGCAUCACAAAGAGCACAGACUCUGUGCUUUGCAAGGGAUUCUGACUUCAUCCCAUGUCUCGCGGAUAUGGAAGACUCUGCCUUGAAGUGCACACCAGGGGGGUUGCCAACCCCCUAUCUCCUAUGGUUGUACACACUAGCCCCAUCCCUACCCACGAUCAUAUUUGUUAUGGGGACAGCCAAACCCCUCCUGGAACUCCUCCAUGCCUCCUGGUCAUAUCUGUCAUUGGGGCCCGCAACCCUCAUGUCCCAGUUGUAUCCUUCAGGUUGGAAGGAAGCCCCUGGAUAACCUCAUAACAAGUGGUGACAGAACUACCUCAGCUCCCCCAGGGCCCCUGGUGUACCUAUCAGGAGGGCACCAAUUCCCAUUUGGAGGAAUCCCCCCAUCAUAUCCAUUGUGAGGUUACGGAAGCCCCUCUCCCUACAUAGUAAAGUGCUGGGCAGAU